AAUUAAUCUUGGAAUUCAUAUUUUUUAAAACAAAAAUUAUAUAUUGGAAGAGUUGCAAAAUAUAUUUUAUUAGACGGCCGAGUUGCACCAAAUUGGCAACGCCAACGCCACUCAUCUUCCACCAAAGAACGUUUGGCCUUGGCCUUGGCCCUGCUCUCUGCUGUUCAUUUGCAAAUUUUCUCAUAGGACUUCGAAAGGUGUAAUGAGAAUUUGCAGUUCGUCGCGUCAAACUUUGAAGAAAAUUUAUUGAAAUUGUAGAUUUAAUUCAUAGAUCUAGAAAAGUGGGAAGGACAUUCCAUUACCAGCACGUGAUCGAUCCAGGUCGACGGUUCGCCAGAUCUCCGUGGAUUACAACAAGUGGUUUCUAUUAAUGUCUUACCUUGGUAUGUGGUUGAUGGCAAUUGAAGUAAACCUUAUCUACUUGCCUGUGUGGGAAGACUAGCAAUUGGUAAAUUGAGUUGAAAUUGUAGUUUUAUUCAAUAUUUAUCAAGUGAAUUGUUUUCUAAUGGAUCUUCCUAGUUACAAAUUUUCUCUAGUCCAUUACCUGGGUGAUUUUGUUUUGAUCUUUAUUUAAGUAGAACAAUAUCUUCAUCAAUUUAAGCUUGAACUCUUUAAUUUAUUCUGUUGGGUUGUGCCAAUUGAUGCUCCCUUUAGUGUAGCGUUUCACUUUAAACUAAUAACAUUUUAAAAAUUGUAUUAUUUCACUUUGCUUUGAAGCAGGUGGUUGGUGUUUGUUGGAGCAGUCUAUGAGAAAACCAAAAAUGUUGAGAACAUAGAAGACCAUGUCCUGCCAAAGAAAUCUGUCAUUCUGUCCUCCAACCCACUAAAUGUGCAUUUUCCACUUCGGAAUGAAAAGCAUGCAACCAAUUUCCAGCUCCAGACAGGUAUCAGUAUGCCUUGCAUACGCGGUAGCGCUUAUGUCCUCCGGCCGCCAGGUGGCGAGAGCGUCGCGUCAAAACUCAGACAUUUUCACAUUUUCCAGCCACCGACUGAAAAUGUCUUCCAAAUUCAUCAUGGUCAUAAAAACUAAUUGGCUAAUUGGCAAUGCGUAAUCCAUCCUCCUGUAAUUUCCUUUUGGCGAAAUAAUCUGAUCACGUGGGCCAAAACUGCUGUCCAUUUUGCCGAAUGCCGUCUAGGCGUCUAUUAUUACCUGUACCUGCUGUACGAGUUUGCUGUACGUCUCGUCCCAUGAAGAAGCACUUCAGACCAAUUUAAUUUAUGUUCAGGUCUCAGACUGCUGUGCUGAUAUAUUGCAGAAAUCGAGAACACAGCCAAGUCAUAGCUACAUUGAUGUCGUGGGACCACAUGCUACUAAAUUACUUCUUGCCUAAACAUCAUCCUAUGAACAGGUAACAGCAUAGUGGACAAGGUUUCGAUAGCCAUUUGACGUUGACGGUGUCAAUGGAGAUGCUGAAUUUCACAAUUCAACUCUGCCAAACAGUUUUUCAUAUGGCCUGAAUCUGAAGAUUAAUUUAAUUUGAUUUUGUUUCUAGAUUAUGCUCCCAUAGCUGCUGUCUAAUUUGAUACGUUGUUGCAGCCAUAUGCUGGUGGUAAAAGUCUUUUUGCAUAAAGUUUAACUGUGAUUGUACCUUGAUGACGGUUUCAUGUUGCGGAAGUUUAGAACAGUAUGUUAAAUUGUCAUUUUGCCAAAUAAUAAACAAAUCAUCGCGAUUGGGAAAGCAACGAGGAGGUGGGAGGGAGACUUAAAUAUUUAAAAGAAAUGUUGAGGUGUUUUGUCGAAGAAAUUGACUCGGUAAUUAUAAAUAUCUUCAACUUUA
Molecule: long non-coding RNA, 1778 nt
Filed under: Daphnia pulex (common water flea)
Lineage: Eukaryota; Metazoa; Arthropoda; Branchiopoda; Diplostraca; Daphniidae
Description: uncharacterized LOC124201080, transcript variant X5
Source: RNAcentral